Molecule: long non-coding RNA, 1120 nt
Filed under: Mus spicilegus (steppe mouse)
Lineage: Eukaryota; Metazoa; Chordata; Mammalia; Rodentia; Muridae
Description: lncRNA (ENSMSIG00000010770.1)
Source: RNAcentral
GAGGUGGGUGAAUCUCAGUGAGUUCAAUACCAGGCUGGUUCACAAUGAGUUCCAGGUCGGUCGUACAGAGCUACACAAAUAAAAUGUCUGCCAGUGGAUGGUGACACAGGCCUUUAAUCCCAGUACUCUGGAGGCAGAGACAGGUGGAUCCCUGUGAGUUUAAGGCCAGCCUGGUCUACAGAGUGAGUCCCAGGACAAGCAAGGCUACACAGACAAACCCUGUCUCGACAAAAUAAAUAAAAUAAAAUCCUCCCCCGCCCCCUUAUUGUCUCUGUACUGUUAUGAAUCUUGCUUUUUAAUUUUGUUUUUGCAAAAGAUCCAGCUAGGGCUGGUUACAGGUGGUUGUGAGCCGCCUAAUGUGGGUGUAUGGGGAUCGAUCUUAAACCCCCUGGAAGAGAAAUACGUGCUGUUCACCGCUGAGCCAUCUUUCCCAUCAAUCUUUAUCUGUAGAUAUGCUUUCUACCUUGUCUUUAAUGUUCGAGGGGGGAUUCACGGUGGGAGCCUUAUAAAUUCAAACAAGGUUUUUACGGAUGUGCGUCUCAGGAAAUGAGGGGUUUCUACCCUCUUGCAGUCCUCCUGCUUUGCUUUAGUGGUCCCUCUACCCUGGUCCUGAUGUCUUUAUGCAGCGGUGAUGCGUCCGGGGCGGGAGCACGGAGGUCUCUCCCAGGCCGCUGGGCAGUCGGCUGGCAGGUGGCUGGCUGAGUUCACCCCGCCCCCGGCCCUAGCCCCGCCCCACUGCUCCACGCGCAUUGGCGCGACCAGCUGUCUCUCUCCGCGCUGGGGAGGGGGCGCGCGGCUGCGGUCCCUCUGCAGAGGGCUGCGCGCUCAGCGGUCUCCGGGGCUCUCCGUUGUUUGGGCCCGUGCUCCUCGACCUCGGGAGCAGAGCUGGCCAGAGACCGCGACGAUCUGGGUUGGGCUUCAAAUAAAGAAGAAGUUGAGCCAGGAAAGUGCUUUCAUUCAAAGAGUAAAUUAAAAGAAAACACCGUGAGCCUCAGAUAAACAAGGCGUUCGUGUCCUGAAGAAGUCACAGAAACAACUGUGGUGUGAGGGGAGAGUGGACACGUAGGAGAAAUCGGAGCUGGUGUGAUAUUUCUGUCACAAAAGACUUACGGAGGAAGAG